AUUGAACGCUGGCGGCAGGCCUAACACAUGCAAGUCGAACGGUAACAGGAAGCAGCUUGCUGCUUUGCUGACGAGUGGCGGACGGGUGAGUAAUGUCUGGGAAACUGCCCGAUGGAGGGGGAUAACUACUGGAAACGGUAGCUAAUACCGCAUAACGUCGCAAGACCAAAGAGGGGGACCUUAGGGCCUCUUGCCAUCGGAUGUGCCCAGAUGGGAUUAGCUAGUAGGUGGGGUUACGGCUCACCUAUGCGACGAACCCUAGCUGGUCUGAGAGGAUGACCAGCCAAACUGGGACUGGGGCACGGUCCAGACUCCUACGGGAGGCAGCAGGGGGGGAUAUUGCAGAAAGGGCGCAAUGCGGAAGAAUGCAUGCCGGGUGUAUGAAGGAGGCCUUCAGGUUGUAAAAGACUUGCAGCGGGGAGGGAGGGAGUGAAGUUAAUACCGUUACUCUUUGACGUUACCCGCAGAAGAAACACCCGGUAAACCCGGGC
RNAcentral lists this ribosomal RNA (491 nucleotides) under uncultured bacterium. Its description in RNAcentral is "partial 16S ribosomal RNA". It matches the Rfam family "Bacterial small subunit ribosomal RNA", at positions 29 to 508 of the family's 1533-position model. The record is from RNAcentral.